Paramisgurnus dabryanus is the source of this 687-nucleotide long non-coding RNA. RefSeq lists it as uncharacterized. The record is from RefSeq and is a predicted model, not a curated record. Lineage: Eukaryota; Metazoa; Chordata; Actinopteri; Cypriniformes; Cobitidae.
AGUUUACAUGAGUGUCCUUGCACUUUAUCAGGAGUUAAGGCAGAUGUGGAGGCACAACGGGUGAUACCAGACACACACCAAGCACAUUAUGUUCGGACAUUCAAUCAUGACAGGAUCCAGGUGGAUGCUGUCCAUUGAGGAAAGAGUUUGUUCCGAGGUUUCUGGAUAGAAUUAAUUCCAAAGAUGGGAAAAAGUGCACAUCCAGACAAGGAGCAAGCAAAAAGACAAGGAACUUGGUGCAGAGAAAAGCUGUGGCCAUUAACCCCCAUGUGAACAGCUUCAUGCAGUCCCUGAUUGAGUUCGAAUGGACGACUUCAAAGUAAAGGCCACUGUGGUCUGUCUGCCACAGUUUAAUGCAUUUAUUUUUAGUGUUAAAUGAAAUUCAAGUAGAAUAUUUAAAACUAUGAGCCAGUGUUGUUUUUACCACAGUGAAAUGUUACCUUUUAGUCGAUGAUGGACUUUAAACUGAAAACUUCAAACUAUGGAACAGUGUUCUAUUUGCCAGAGUUAAAUAUGUUACAGCAGGGGUCUCCAAACUUGUUUAUACUUGUUGAUUUUAUUUUAUGUUACUUGAUUAUAUGUUUAUUAUUGUUUAAAAUCUUGUUUAAAAUAUGUUUGUUUCAAUUAAAUGUUUUUUUAAAUAAAAUUUUGAUACAAACAUUGCUUGGAUUGCCUUUUAAUUCAUUA